This 329-nucleotide long non-coding RNA is filed under the name Mustela putorius furo (domestic ferret). RNAcentral's name for it is "lncRNA (ENSMPUG00000028163.1)". Lineage: Eukaryota; Metazoa; Chordata; Mammalia; Carnivora; Mustelidae. The record is from RNAcentral.
CGGCUGGGCUCGUUCCUACAGCACCGAAUUGCGAGUCUGAAAAAAGCACUUGGUCGCCGCAAGGAAGAUGGCAGGAGGGCCACAGGGAGACCUUGCUUCGAUGAGAUGCCUGAAGCCAGAGAAUCCAAAACAUGGUCGUUCUCAAACGGUGGUCUGGGGACCCGCGAGGAUCCUCCGGAACUUUCAGGUGAGUAAUGGGGUCAAAACUCUGUUAAUAAUAAUCCUAAGGCAUUACCUUCCCUUGUUCUCACUCUUCCAUGAGUGUAUAGUCAGUUUGCCUGCCUGGAGUCUGUCUUUGCCUCUUGACCUUGACUGCUUUGUUUCCUAUC